AGCCUAAAAACUAGCUCAACCAUUAAAAACAACAAACAGACACUAAUAACCCAUAAAAACCUAAAAACCACAAUCAAAUCAUUUUUCCCCCCGAGUACAGGAGAUGGAAAGGGGACACAGAGAAGCUACAGAUAAAGUACCGCGAGGGAACGAUGAAAGAGAAAUGAAACAACCCAUAAAAGCCCUAAAAAGCAGAGAUUCAAGCUCGUACCUUUUGCAUCAUGAUUUAGCUAGCAACGCCCAAGCAGAAAGAAUUAUAGUUUGGUUCCCCGAAACUAAGUGAGCUACUCCGAGGCAGCUUGUAUAAAAGAGCAAACCCGUCUCUGUUGCAAAAGAGUGGGAAGACCUUUGAGUAGUGGUGACAGACCUAUCGAACUUAGUUAUAGCUGGUUGCCUGGGAAACGGAUAUAAGUUCAGCCCUGCGGUUUCUCCACUCCAAAUUAACAUAAGCUAGGACAAAAAGAACCGCCGCAGAAGUUAAUCAAAGGAGGUACAGCUCCUUUGAAAAAGACACAACUUUACUAGGAGAGUAAAGAUCAUAAUUUUAAAAAGCAACGUACUAACGUGGGCCUAAGAGCAGCCACCUAGAGAGAAAGCGUUAAAGCUCGAGUACUAACUAGCCAAUUAUACUGAUAACCCAAUCUUACCCCCCUGCCCCCUACCAGGCCUUCUCAUUCAACCAUGUGAGUGAUUAUGCUAAUAUGAGUAACAAGAGUGAAGGAACUCUCCUACACACAAGUGUAAGUCGAAACGGACCACCCAUCGACCAUUAACAACCCCCACCAAAGAGGGCACUGGGUAACAAACCAAACAACAAGAGAACUACCCAACAACAAAUGUUAAUCCAACACCGGCGUGCUACCCAGGAAAGACUAAAAGGAAGGGAAGGAACUCGGCAAACAAAAGCCCCGCCUGUUUACCAAAAACAUCGCCUCUUGCAAAACCAAAGAAUAAGAGGUCCGACCUGCCCAGUGACUAUAUGUUUAACGGCCGCGGUAUUCUGACCGUGCGAAGGUAGCGUAAUCACUUGUCUUUUAAAUGAAGACCUGUAUGAAUGGCAAGACGAGGGCUUAACUGUCUCCCCUUUCUGGUCAAUGAAAUUGAUCCCCCCGUGCAGAAGCGGGGCUAGCCACAUUAGACGAGAAGACCCUAUGGAGCUUCAGACACUAAGGAAGCCCAGUCAAACGAACCUAAAUCAACAAGAUGACUAUACUGAAGACCUUCCAUAAUGUCUUGGGUUGGGGCGACCACGGGGUAAAAAACAACCCCCACGUGGGAUGGAAUUAAAGCACUUAUUCCUGAGCUAAGAGCUACCGCUCUAAGCAGCAGAACUUCUGACCAUAAAUGAUCCGGCAAAGCCGAUCAACGAACCAAGUUACCCUAGGGAUAACAGCGCAAUCCCCUUUAAGAGUCCAUAUCGACAAGGGGGUUUACGACCUCGAUGUUGGAUCAGGACAUCCUAAUGGUGCAGCCGCUAUUAAGGGUUCGUUUGUUCAACGAUUAAAGUCCUACGUGAUCUGAGUUCAGACCGGAGUAAUCCAGGUCGGUUUCUAUCUAUGAAAAUAUCUUCUUCUAGUACGAAAGGACCGAAGAAGAGGGGCCCAUAAUUUAGAUACGCCCCGCCCCCACCUGCUGGUGCCCAAUCAAGCAGCUAACGGGAACUAUCACCGCAAGUAGAGAGAAUACUAC
Molecule: ribosomal RNA, 1689 nt
Filed under: Sirembo imberbis (golden cusk)
Lineage: Eukaryota; Metazoa; Chordata; Actinopteri; Ophidiiformes; Ophidiidae
Description: 16S rRNA
Rfam family: Bacterial large subunit ribosomal RNA (bases 95-1581)
Source: RNAcentral